This 549-nucleotide ribosomal RNA is filed under the name Wickerhamiella fructicola. Its description in RNAcentral is "LSU rRNA". It matches the Rfam family "Eukaryotic large subunit ribosomal RNA", at positions 51 to 655 of the family's 3401-position model. The record is from RNAcentral. Lineage: Eukaryota; Fungi; Ascomycota; Dipodascomycetes; Dipodascales; Trichomonascaceae.
CGGAGGAAAAGAAACCAACAGGGAUUGCCUUAGUAGCGGCGAGUGAAGCGGCAAAAGCUCAAAUUUGAAAUCUGCCAACAGGCCGAGUUGUAAUUUGAAGAUGGCAUUUAGGAAUCGUCCUUGCUCAAGUUUCUUGGAAUAGAACAUCAUGGAGGGUGAGAAUCCCGUGAGGCGAGGGUUGCGAUUCUGUGUUAUUUGCUUUCGACGAGUCGAGUUGUUUGGGAAUGCAGCUCUAAGUGGGUGGUAAAUUCCAUCUAAAGCUAAAUAUUGGCGAGAGACCGAUAGCGAACAAGUACUGUGAAGGAAAGAUGAAAAGAACUUUGAAAAGAGAGUGAAAAAGUACGUGAAAUUGUUGAAAUGGAAGGGCUUGAGAUUAGACAUGGUGUUUCUGUUUUCAGGUUCACCGGGCUAGCAUCAGUUUGGAGAGUAGGAUAACCGGUUUGGAAUGUAGCAACAUUCGUGUUGUAUUAUAGACAGACUUUCUACUGCUUCUCUGGACUGAGGACCGCUUAUAGGAUGCUGGCGUAAUGAUCUCAAGCCACCCGUCUU